GGCUCGUUGGUCUAGGGUAUGAUUCUCGCAUAGGGUGCGAGAGGUCCUGGGUUCAAAUCCCGGACGAGCCC
Molecule: transfer RNA, 71 nt
Filed under: Perca fluviatilis (European perch)
Lineage: Eukaryota; Metazoa; Chordata; Actinopteri; Perciformes; Percidae
Rfam family: tRNA
About the family: Transfer RNA (tRNA) molecules are approximately 80 nucleotides in length. Their secondary structure includes four short double-helical elements and three loops (D, anti-codon, and T loops).
Source: Rfam by way of RNAcentral